AAUAGCGUAUAUUAAAGUUGUUGCAGUUAAAAAGCUCGUAGUUGGACCUUGGGCCUGGACAGGCGGUCCGCCUCACGGCGUGUACUGUCUUGCUGGGCCUUUCCUCUUGGUGAUCUGUGGUUUCGGCCGCAGGGAACCAGGACCUUUACUUUGAAAAAAUUAGAGUGUUCAAAGCAGGCUUUACGCCAGAAUAUAUUAGCAUGGAAUAAUAAAAUAGGACGUGCGGUUCUAUUUUGUUGGUUUUUGGGAUCGCCGUAAUGAUUAAUAGGGACAGUCGGGGGCAUUAGUACUCACAUGCUAGAGGUGAAAUUCUUGGAUUUUGUGAAGACUAACUUCUGCGAAAGCAUUUGCCAAGGAUGUUUUCAUUAAUCAAGAACGAAGGUUAGGGUAUCGAAAACGAUUAGAUACCGUUGUAGUCUUAACAGUAAACUAUGCCGACUAGGGAUCGGUCGAUGUUAUUUUCUUGACUCGAUCGGCACCUUACGAGAAAUCAA
RNAcentral lists this ribosomal RNA (494 nucleotides) under Malassezia sympodialis. Its description in RNAcentral is "SSU rRNA". It matches the Rfam family "Eukaryotic small subunit ribosomal RNA", at positions 593 to 1101 of the family's 1831-position model. The record is from RNAcentral. Lineage: Eukaryota; Fungi; Basidiomycota; Malasseziomycetes; Malasseziales; Malasseziaceae.